AAUAUUGCACAAUGGGCGAAAGCCUGAUGCAGCAACGCCGCGUGAGUGAUGAAGGCCUNCGGGUCNUNAAGCUCUUUGAUCAGGGNGGAUAAUGACAUUACCUGAAAAACAAGCCACGGCUAACUACGUGCCAUCAGCCGCGGUAAUACGUAGGUGGCGAGCGUUGUCCGGAAUUACUGGGCGUAAAGGAUGCGUAGGUGGAUACUUAAGUGGGAUGUGAAAUCCCCGGGCUCAACCCAGGAGCUGCAUUCCAAGCUGGGUAUAUAGAGUGCAGGAGAGGAAAGCGGAAUUCCUAGUGUAGCAGUGAAAUGCGUAGAUAUUAGGAGGAACACCAGUGGCGAAGGCGGCUUUCUGGACUGUAACUGACACUGAGGCAUGAAAGCGUGGGUAGCAAACAGG
Molecule: ribosomal RNA, 399 nt
Filed under: uncultured bacterium
Lineage: Bacteria
Description: partial 16S ribosomal RNA
Rfam family: Bacterial small subunit ribosomal RNA
Source: RNAcentral